GGGGGGGGCUCCUCUUCUUCCUAUAAGGACACUGAUCCCAUCAUGGGUCGUCUACCCUCAUGACCUCAUCUAAACCUAAUUACUUCCCAAACACCCACAUUGGGGGUCAGGGUUGCAACAUAUGAAUUGUGGGGGGGCAUAAACAUUCCAUCUGUAACAACCUGUUUCUGUGGGGUGUCCCAAUCCCAAGGUGGAGAAAACAGCAUUUCUCAAGACACUGCAUGAAGCCACCCUAAUGGACGUCUUCCUUCCAACAUCGCUGAUUAAAUGACUGAAAUGGGGGAGGUCCACACACAAAAAUGGUAACCUAGCCAAAGGCAGCUGGGCAUCUUGUUCCUCUGAAUAUCUAGGCAGUGCCGGAAUCAUCUCACCCUGAAUAGUCCUGUCAUUUCUGGAAGACCCCCGGGGGCCUCUACGAGCCUUUAGACAAGUUCUGUUGCCAUCUGUAUUAACCACCACCCUCCUCCUGUCCAGCACCAAGAAGCCUUCAUGAAAAAGCCGGUAAAGUCCACCUAGAAAACAUGUUUCUGCUCUACCAAGAUCAUUCUAGAAGCAUGAACGUAGCAUGGACGUAGCAUGAACUGGCAUAGGGAAAAGCGGACCAAGACAGCUAGGGAAGGGAAAUCACAAAGAUACAGAAAACGAUGCCUUUGGAGCAUGUUUGGCGAGAAAGGUGAGGCUGCUCUCUGGACAAGCUCUACGUGGGCUGCAGUGCAGCGAUGGAACCAAUCAGCCGUACAUGAGAAAUGUACCUGAAUUUGGGGGAGGGGGUUGCAGGAAAGAGGUGGUGUCACCCCCUUCCCCUGGAGGAACAGUGCUAGAGGAAGCCAGAUAAAACAGAAGGUUUAAAGAGAUCCAAGAUCUCAAAAUAUAAUAUUCAAAAUGUCUAGGUUCCUAUCAAAAAUGAUUCAUCACGUUAAGAAACAGGAGGAUCUCUGAGUGGGGGAAAAAGGUCAAUAGACUCUAACACCAAGAUGACAGAGAAAUUAGAAUUAUCUGACAAAGAUUUUAAAGCAACCGUCAUGAACAUGCUUCAAAAAGCAGUCAUGAACAUGCUUGAAAUGCAUUUAAAAAUAGAAAGCCUCGGCAAAGAAACAGAAGAUAUAAAAAGGAACCAAGUGGAAAUAUUUUAACUAAAAAAACUACAAUAACCAAAAUAAAAAAUUCAAUGGAUGGGCUCAAUCAGAGACCAGAGGAGGAAGAGGAAAGGAAAUCAGUGAACUGAGAGGUGGAACACUAGAAACUACCAAAUCUGAACGAGAGAGCAGAGAGACUAAAAAAGGAAAAUGAACAGAGUUGCAGAAACUAAAGGGAUAGAAAAUAACAUUUAACAUUCAUGCCAUCGUUAAAAAAAUGGACCAGCGACCUUAACAGGCACUUUUACCAAAGAAGCUAUAAAGAUAGCACCUAAGCCUAGAAAAAGAUGUUGCACAUCACAUAUUAUCAAGGAAAUGCAAAUUACACACCAACGAAAUGCCACUGAGACGCCUAUGAGCUUGGUCAAAAUCCGGAACACGGACAAUAACAAAUGCUGGUGAGGAUGUGGCGGCAGAAACUGGCAUUCGCUGUCGGUGGGAAUGGAGAGUGGUGCAGCCAGUUUGUACGACAGCUAUGCGUGUUCUUACAAAACUAAACCUACCCUGACUCGUGAUCCAGAAAUCAUGCCCCUUGGUAUUUGCACAAAGGAAUUAAAAAAUUAUUUCUACGUAAAAACCCACACAUGGGUAUUCAUAGCAACUGAAUUCAUAAUUGCCAGGACUUGGAAGCAACCAAGAGGUCCUUCGGUAGAUAAAUAAAUAAAUAAACCAACUGUGGCACAUCCCAGACAAUGGAAUAGUAUUCAGUGCUAAAAAGACAUGAACUCAAGCCAUGAAAAGACACGGAAGAACUUUAAAUGCAUGUUACGAACUUUAGAAAGCCUACCUGAAAAGGCUGCAGACUAUCUGAUUCCAGCUAUACGACAAAACUAUGGAGACAAUAAGACGGUGGUGGUGGGAAGAAACGAAUAGGCAGAGCUCAGAGGAAUUUUAGGACAGUAAAAAAAAUACUCUGCGUGAUAUUAAAGUGAUGAGUAGAUAUCACUAUCCUUUUGUCCAAGCCCAGGAUGCACAAAAUGGAGAGUGGACACUAGGGUAAACCACAGACUCGGGUGACUACGAUGUGUCAACGCACACGUGGAAAUGUACACAGUGGAAAAAGUGCACCAGCAUGGUGAGUGAUGUUGACAACAGGUGAGACUGUGCAUGUGCGGGGACAGUGGAAAAGAGAAACGUCUGUACCAUCUUCUCAAUGUUUUUGUAAACCUAAAACGGCUCUAAAAAAUAGAGUCUUUAAAACAAAGAAAGAAUGAAGUAGGAAGUACCAGUCUUCAGUGGGUUACACUGCAGCACACCCAUGCCACGAAAUACUCCUCAGCAAUAAAAAGGAACAAAAGACUGACAUAUGUCACGACAUGGAUAAAUCUCCAGAAUUUAUGCUCAGCAAAAAGAGCCAAUUCCAAAAGGUCACAUUCUGUAUAAUUCACCUUAUAUAACAUCAAUUUAAAGCUUAUUUAUUUGUUUUGAGAGAGAGGGCAUGAGCACAUGCACACAUGUGGGGGAGGUGCAGAGGAAAUAGGAGAUGUGUGGAGCCCGAUGUGGGUCUUGAUCCCCCGAACCAUGAUAUCAUGACCUGAUGGGAAAUCAAGAGUCAGACGCUUAACCAAUCGAGCCAGGCAGGCAUCCCUGUAACACUUUGAAAUGACAAAAUUAUAGAAGUGAAGUACAGAUUAUUGGUUGUUUAGGGUUAAAAGGGGGGCAGGAUUUGGAGAGGAAACAGCAUUUUAUUAAAGGGCCACAUAACUGAUGGUGAUGGAGUAGUCUAUAUCUUACUGUAUUGACGUCGAUUCUACGUUUGUGAUACUGUACUGUGGUUUUUCAAGAUCCUCCUGCCUUUGGAAGAGACUGGGAAGAGACAAAUGGAAUCCCUGUGCACUGUUUCUUAUAAGUGCCAGUGAAGCUACGAUUUUCUUUUUUUUUUUUUUUUAAUGUUUAUUUA
Felis catus (domestic cat) is the source of this 3036-nucleotide long non-coding RNA. RefSeq lists it as uncharacterized. NCBI's taxonomy places the organism in Eukaryota, Metazoa, Chordata, Mammalia, Carnivora, Felidae. The record is from RefSeq and is a predicted model, not a curated record. The transcript has 5 exons.